GACGAACGCUGGCGGCGUGCUUAACACAUGCAAGUCGAACGGAAAGGCCCUGCUUUUGUGGGGUGCUCGAGUGGCGAACGGGUGAGUAACACGUGAGUAACCUGCCCUUGACUUUGGGAUAACUUCAGGAAACUGGAGCUAAUACCGGAUAGGAGCUCCUGCUGCAUGGUGGGGGUUGGAAAGUUUCGGCGGUUGGGGAUGGACUCGCGGCUUAUCAGCUUGUUGGUGGGGUAGUGGCUUACCAAGGCUUUGACGGGUAGCCGGCCUGAGGGGGUGACCGGCCACAUUGGGACUGAGAUACGGCCCAGACUCCUACGGGAGGCAGCAGUGGGGAAUAUUGCACAAUGGGCGGAAGCCUGAUGCAGCAACGCCGCGUGCGGGAUGACGGCCUUCGGGUUGUAAACCGCUUUCGCCUGUGACGAAGCGUGAGUGACGGUAAUGGGUAAAGAAGCACCGGCUAACUACGUG
This 468-nucleotide ribosomal RNA is filed under the name uncultured bacterium. Its description in RNAcentral is "partial 16S ribosomal RNA". It matches the Rfam family "Bacterial small subunit ribosomal RNA", at positions 28 to 507 of the family's 1533-position model. The record is from RNAcentral.